GAAACUUCAUAUGUGUGGAAUGACACAUGUGGCCUCUGCAUCUGGCUUCUUUCACAUAGCCUAAUGUUUUCAAGGCUGGCGCAUGUUGUAGCAUCUAUCAGAACUUCAUUCCUCCUUACAGCUGAUAACACUCCAUUAUGUGGAUAUGGAUAUGCCACACUUUAUCUUUUCAUCAGUUCGUGGACAUCUGGAUUGUCUCCACUUUUUGACUACGACACGUUCUGAAUUACCAGCGAUUUCACUCACUCAGAAUACAUAGAGACGAGGCUCCUCAUUCAGAAUCUCCCUGCACCUCAUGAUGGACUUGGCUGCACAUGGGACAACUCAGUCAUUUCCUGGAACUUGCAUUUCACUGGGAGAGGCCUGCUCUCAGGGAGGGUGCUUUUUGUGGUCUUCCAUGUACAGCUAAUUAAGAUUCUGACUGGGUUUAGGAUCAAAGAAAGCUGUCCCAUUGCAUUCCCACAUUCUUCCUUCUUCUUUCAAUGUCUUCCAAGAUCUAUUUUAAACGGGAAGUGUUGUGUACUUUUCAGGGGCCCUUUGACCUGUUCCCAGUAAAUCAAAACAGGAAGGUAGGUCUCAGCCCUUCGCCUAACAGCCAAUCAGUGUGAGACCAAGGUCUGCACAGCUGUGUCUAUGUCCAGUGCCCAACCAGGGAAGUGGUAUUUCCAAAGGCUUCCCUGAGGUCGGUCUAUGGUAGCUGUUUGCUAAUCUGAAUCCAUGUUGGUGAUUAAUUUUGGAAUUCGACUCUUUGAGUGUAUAAGGGACAGGGUGCAAAGGGAAAACAUCUCAGAGAACUUCUACAAAUAUUAGGAGUUGGUGCAAGAAGUUCACAGUGAGCUGGGAAGGAGUGGGAAGAAAUAACAGGGCCUUGGAUCCUUUCCAAUUCCCACCCCGGUGCGCUUGGCAGCUCACAUGAUACCUCGACUUUUCCAAAUAUUGGGGAGAAAAAGCAGCCAAGGUUUUAUGUAAGAAUGAAAAGGGCCUGAAGCAUUUCAAUUUCCGGGUGGCUAAACAAAAGAGGACACACACCAGGGAAAGCCCCUUAAAGUGUGUGCAGAAGAGUUGGACAAAAGAGAAGAGGCAUUUAAUCAGACAGAGAAAAAAAUAGAAAUGAUGUCAUUAUUUGGGUAUAGUGAGGUUGCCAUGUAGGUGUGUUUGUAUAAAUUCCUUGGGCUUUUCCUAGUAAUGAGAUAAUGCUGUAAGGUCCCCAGUUCCUCAAAAAUUUAGCUAAAACUUGGAGCGAUACUAAUUACAAAACACAAUCGCCACGCAGGUAAAGCUAUACAUAUCAUAAAUAUAGUCUACUGCUUACAGGAUGAGACCCUUGUUAGCAUGGGAGGGGCCCGAUUUCAUAAUUUGUACACCUGCAAUGCAGGGACUGAUCUCUCUGUAGGUGCACAUUUGCCUCAGGGUACACUGGCCUAGUGCGGCACUGCCCUACAAAGGCAAAUCCUCCAUCAAUACAUAAUGAAAAACGACCCAUCAAAAAAAUAAGUCAGAGUUGGGGAGGCACAGAAAAAGUGACAAAUUGAUUCCAGACUCUUCUUUUUUAGGCCAUCAUGGAAACAGUUACUGGAUUUAUAUUGGAAAAUUCCUACCAGGGUGUGACGCCUUCAAUCGCCCUUCGUUUCCCGUGAUCUCCCCAGGAGCAGGCAGAGGGGCAUCCUGGGAACCGACCGCGAGGUGGCCUGGAUCUUACUGCUGCCACUGAGUGCCGCUCCCAGGAA
Molecule: long non-coding RNA, 1727 nt
Filed under: Homo sapiens (human)
Lineage: Eukaryota; Metazoa; Chordata; Mammalia; Primates; Hominidae
Description: HSALNT0099311
Source: RNAcentral